UACGUAGGGUGCGAGCGUUAAUCGGAAUUACUGGGCGUAAAGUGUGCGCAGGCGGCAGAGCAAGUCGAGUGUGAAAGCCCCGGGCUUAACUUGGGAAUUGCGCUCGAAACUACUUUGCUGGAGUGUGGCAGAGGAAGGUGGAAUUCCACGUGUAGCGGUGAAAUGCGUAGAGAUGUGGAGGAACACCAAUGGCGAAGGCAGCCUUCUGGGCCAACACUGACGCUCAUGCACGAAAGCCAGGGGAGCGAACGGG
RNAcentral lists this ribosomal RNA (253 nucleotides) under uncultured bacterium. Its description in RNAcentral is "partial 16S ribosomal RNA". It matches the Rfam family "Bacterial small subunit ribosomal RNA", at positions 524 to 776 of the family's 1533-position model. The record is from RNAcentral.